Molecule: long non-coding RNA, 817 nt
Filed under: Equus caballus (horse)
Lineage: Eukaryota; Metazoa; Chordata; Mammalia; Perissodactyla; Equidae
Description: lncRNA (ENSECAG00000058689.1)
Source: RNAcentral
GCGCUGUAUCUGGGACAUGACUGGAUCUCCUUUAUCUCACUUUGGAGAGAGUAAAUGUUCUGAUUCUGGGUCACGCCUAUGAAAGGCAGCAUAUGAUAUGAAGACCAAGUUCUGGCGACCACACCAGCCAACGUCGUCAACUGGCCUCCCCCGUCAUCGAGUGGCUGGUGGAGGCCUGCCAUGCCAUUACCUGGACUCUGUAACCCUGCCGCUGGAUGCCUAGUGAAGUCAUUUGACACGGACAGUGUGUGGAGGCAAGGUCUCUAAAUCUCCAGCUGAGCUACGAUGACACAGAAGCUCAUCCCGACACAGUAGAUUCUUUUGUGUUUAUCGACUCUGCACAUGAGUGUGAAGACGACAAGUAAUGUCACUGUGUUCGGUUAUUACCUUCUCCUCCAAGAGGCAGCAAGAAGGAAGACUUAGCUCACCAGCCCGGGUCCAAACAACAAGAAAAAAUAUUUCAGGAGAGGAAGAUCCCAGACCUUGGAAAUAGCCAUUUUUGAUCCCCAGAAAGAAGAAAUCCUGAAUUAACAAAGAAGAGGCUUAGGGCUCAGGUCUCUGAAGUCACUUGCUCAGGGACCCUGGCGAUGGAGACCUGGGAGGGAGAUUAUAGAAAGACUCAAGGUUUCCGGAGUUUGGACUGCUUAUGUAAACUUGGUGAGACAGCUACUGACCCCAAGGUCACCGUGACACCCCCUUUCGCAAAACACUGCUCUCUAGGUACAACAUCUUUACUAUUUUGGGUAAUUUUUCUUUAUCUACCGGAAUCUCCAUGGAGGCCCUUUCUCUCUCAUUUCUCUCCUGUGUAAGUGAAAUA